This is a long non-coding RNA of Mesocricetus auratus (golden hamster), 3712 nucleotides long. RefSeq lists it as uncharacterized. The transcript has 3 exons. Lineage: Eukaryota; Metazoa; Chordata; Mammalia; Rodentia; Cricetidae. The record is from RefSeq and is a predicted model, not a curated record.
AUGUAGUCAAGAGAGGGAGUCUCCAUGUGAUCCCGGGGGAAGAGAAGAUGUAUCAGGAUGCCAUCUUUGGAAAGGAAUUCAUGUUGGGCAAAGGAGUGCCUCGAACCGUAGUAACACCGAGAGGGGCUGCCCACACAGGAAUGACAGCGUCCACGGGCACCAAGCUUCUGGCUUGCUCUUCAGUCUCAGCUCUUCCCUGCAGCUAAGUUCAAGUGGGUUUCUGUGUGGUUGAAACCUCGCUGCCCUGCAAGCUGAAUCAUUAUUAGAAACACAUUUUGUGUGUCUGGUACCGGAGUUCAAAGUCACGAGACUCGGAGUCUACCGGAGGAACUGGCUGAGCUACUGAGCAUGCUGCUCCUAAAGCCAGUAUCCGUCGCUCUGCCUGCCAGUCUCUUGAUUUGGAAACCUUCACUCCGUUUACAGGCCCACUAGUAGUUAGGAGUUGGGGGUCACCACAGCGAAUGGUAUGAAAUCCCACCUCUUUCGUAGAAUUAUCGCUCAAAUCGAAGAAGCAUGCACCGUGACUGUGACAGGUGGAUGAUGGAAAUGACGCAUGGGGAAAGGGACAUGAACGAAGAGAGACCGUGGUGGGAUUCAUCAGACCCUUGACUCGGCAAUGCGGUUGCAACUGGAAUUGCUUUCAGAGAGUUUCUGUUUUGCCUGCUCGGUUCUCACGCAAAGGUCACGCUUCUCAGGGUUGAAACGUCCUUGGAGGAGUCUUAGUGACUUUUGGUACAGGCAACACGGUGACUGAGAAAUACUGCUGCAUAGGGAAAACACUUUGAAGACGAAACAAACAUGAGCUGAAUCCGGAAGGGAGACAAAGGUGAAGGCACUAUUGGGACGACACAGGAAGCAGGGGAAGAGGAUUGGCCUUGAGAGAUGGAGCAGAGUGUACAAAGGUCUAGGUGCAGGAGGGAUUCCAGCUUGCAUGCCAAACGGCACAGAGAUCAGCGUAGAUGAAAUACAGUGUGUGUGGGGGGGGGUACAAAGAUUCAGGCAAAGUGUAUCUCAUCACAAGGUUUUGUUUUUAAUUUAUUUAGUACUAAAAAUUUCAGAAGAAUUUUAAUCAGACGAAACACGCAAUCUUGCACGCGAUAAAAAAAAAUGGACAUCCUGAUGGCUGUUUGAAAAUGGAUUUGGAGAGACCCAGAGAGGAACUGGGUAAGGAGAUUGUGACCUUAGCCCAACAGAAAAAUGAUGAUGGCUUGGACAUGAUGGUUUAUGUAGCAUGCAACCAAUGAGGAAGUGUAUGGGCAACGGACGUACUUUAGACGAUGUCUAUCCAGACUUGCUAUGUUCUUUGAAGAAACUAAUCAGGGAAAUAAAUGAAUUGCUUAAACCCUGAUAGAAAGAAUUUCCCAAACUCCCCAUAUGGGGCUCCACGCAUCUUAUGGAACCAUGGUUUUCUAAGUAUCAGGUCACAAAGAGGUACCUUGGGCUCUGGAGAGUACCUAUAUCAUGGCCCAAGAUUUGCUUGAGAUAGAAAAGGCAAACCACUUGAUACAGAAUGGAGGGUGCUUUGGGAGAGGGGUUAUAGGUUAUGACAGCCAUUCAGACAUCUUAGACUCCCAUGAAAUUACUGUUUUUAUAAUAGGAAUCAUUGUUCAUGAAUGACAGGCUUGUUAGAUGUAAAAAUAUAUAAAGAAGCUGAGCUCACACUAAGGUAUAUGUAAGUAUGUGUUAGUUGAAAUCAUGUAAGAUGUACUUUAUGAGGAUAUUAAGGUUUUUCUUGAAUGGACAUGUAUUUUCCAGUUUUUUUGGCUGAUUAAAAAAGAAGAAGAAAAUAUUGCUUGAUUACUAUUAUAAUAUUAUAAAUCAAGUGGUGCAACUGAAAAUGUAUGCUUUAUCUAAGCUAAGGUAGCAAGCUAUAUUGGUAUAUGCCAAAAUUCACUUAUGUUCAAAGAAACGCUGGAAAUAAGGAAAGUACUAUAAAUAUUUGCUAUAAACACUCUACAAAGUUCCUGGUAAACAUAGUACUUGAGAAAAUAUCCUGGUUUUUAAUAAAAACCCACAAGUAUUUACUUUCAGUUUCCCAGUUUAAAGUGCGAAGCAUGUAGUCAGUCACUCAUCCCAUCUGAAUGUGCCAUUUACUUCUGUUUGAGGCCACCCAGGUAGUGUGUACACUUAGGAGACUGUGGAGAGACAGCCAACCUUGAUUUAUUAACCUAUUAAAUGAGAAAAUCCUGAUUUUCUUUCUGUAAGUACAGGAGAAAGAAAAAGAACGAGCUAAGCAAAUAAAGAAUCUCAAGAUGUUACUUUUUCCAUCGUAGAGUAGAUUCCUGUAGUCUCUCUAAUGGUUACCUUUCACAAAUGCUUUAAAAGGGGGUUUUAUGAACUAGAGAAACAUUCCAUUAGCUUCUUUACCAAAAUAAAGACCUCCUGUUUGGAUAUAUGCUGGCCCAGUAAUAACAGUCUCCUGCAUAGUUUUAGCUGCAUGCAUAUAUGCAUAUAUUUAUUUUGCGCUUGUAUUUUCACCUAAAUUCUGUAUUUCUUCCUCUUUAAAAGAAUUAUUAAGAUUUACUACUUGGAGUUAGUAUAGGCAUGAGAAGAAGUAUUAAGUUUUGACCAGGAACUAUGGAAUUUUCCUGUAGGUUGAGCUGCUGACUCAGUCUCAAUUAUAAGACAUUGAGCUACAAAGGAGCAGAACCGACCACUUGUAGAAAGUCUUAGAAACUCUGGUGACCUGAAAAGAGAAUGGACCACAGCAUCAUUUCUUUCUUGGUCCCUACCUCUCAGUGCUUUGUUGUCUACAAAAGACUGUUUGUAGUUCCUUUGGCUGCUGGCUCCUCCUUUCAGCUUUGUUCAGCUGUUACAUGGCUUUUUAAAUCAACCUUUGGGCACCUGCAGCACGCUUUCCCAACCUCCACAUGCUUCUGAUGUUCUUGGUAUCGUGAAAGUUUCCAUCAUUUCCGUUAUUUCCUUUUUCAUCCCAGUCCUUUGGGUGUGGCCCCCACACAGUGAAUGCCAUGACUUCGCAGUCCCUCUCAGACUAUUAUAACCAUAAAGGAUGUCUGUUUGUGUGACACAGGCAUACACUAGAUUGGAGAUCAACCCCCAAGUUUUUCUCUUUAACAAACAUCCAUAAUGACACACUUGAUGCUUUCCUUUGGAACAGGUCAGAACAGUGGUUCUCAACCUCUGUGUCAAAUGACCCUUUCACAUAAGUUGCAUAUUAGAUACUCAGCAUGUCAAAUAUUGACAUUAUGGUUCAUAGCAACAACAAAAUUACAGUUGUUAAGUAACAAUAAAAAAUAAUUGUAUGGGUGGGGGUCGCCACAGUAUGAGGAACUGUAUGUAUUAAAGGGUCAUAGCAUUAGGAAGAUGGAGAACCACUGGGUCAGAGGAAUAGAAGACCCCCCAAAAAGAAGUACUCACUAAUCCACAAAUAAGCCCUUCUAGUACCAAGUGUCUAUAGACAAAAUAUCGAUGAUACUUCAAGUAAAGUCACUGAGUUCAUGAUAUAGUUCAAUCAAGAAAAUGUAAUAGUUUGAGAUUAAAAUCAUAUUAACAAUUGUAAAUUCUGUGUCACUGAGAGUGGGCUGCCUUUUAGUAGCUGAUGUUUUAUUGAAAUAGAGCCAACCAACCCCUCUUCUUUAUGUGUUUCUAUAGAUGCUUCAUACUACAGUGGCACUGAACUGGUCUAUGGAGAAAUAAUGGUGUGUUGUGCUCCAGCACUGAAAGAAUUAGACUAAUAAAGAGAUACAAAAUA